UGAUACUAGAAACUUCAACUUGGACUCUCCACUCUUCCUCCAGCCUCUGUGACCUUGAUUUCCACAUGAAGUGUAAAGUUUCAUCUGAAAAGAGGACUUUGGAUAACUGCAACAGACCAGUCGUUUUCCUUUAGCCCAGGUAAGAUGUGAUGCUGUCUCUGGUUCAGAAGUGGGUUAGAACGAGUGCGACAGUUGUAUAGCCCAUGUCUUGAAUGUGUCUGUUGUGCUCCUUACCCAAAGUCUUAAAUGGACUUCACUUCAAAAUCCCCAUAAAGGUUGUCAAUGACCUUCAGACAGUAGUCAAGUCAACAGUCUUCCCUAUGACUGAAUAAAACAUGCAGUGCUUUGGAGAUGAACAAUCUGCUUGAAGCUACAUGAAACCAGAUGCCUUAGUGAGAAAUGAAAAGGAUGGAGGCUCUCCCAUGCCUACAGUAUUGUCUCCCAGCUUUCACUUCUUCAGUGUAUUAACAUUCCCUUUGCAGGCCCUGCUUAGAGAAUGGGUCUGAUAGCUCAGUAAGGGGGAGAUAAAUUGUUGGAUAUUUCUGUUAUGACUGGUAAAUGUGUCAAUUCUGUUUUUUUUAUUUAUUUAUUGAGAUGCAGCAACAUAUCGGAUAUCUGAAAGGGAAAACUAAGGAAACAUGUUCUGUCAAAGCCUGCAGGAAUUACACAGUAAAUAAGUUGUAGAGACCAAAAAGGACUGCAACUCGUAGAAAAAAAUGGAAAUGUAACAUUUCAUGUAAAUAUGCAUUGUCCAAAAAAGAAAACUGACAGUAAAUUGUUUAAUCAAACCAA
Molecule: long non-coding RNA, 792 nt
Organism: Girardinichthys multiradiatus
Lineage: Eukaryota; Metazoa; Chordata; Actinopteri; Cyprinodontiformes; Goodeidae
Exons: 2
Source: RefSeq, a predicted model, not a curated record